GACGUAGGGCGCGAGCGUUGUCCGGAUUUAUUGGGCGUAAAGAGCUCGUAGGCGGCUUGUCGCGUCGACUGUGAAAUCCCGCGGCUCAACUGCGGGUCUGCAGUCGAUACGGGCAGGCUAGAGUUCGGUAGGGGAGACUGGAAUUCCUGGUGUAGCGGUGAAAUGCGCAGAUAUCAGGAGGAACACCGAUGGCGAAGGCAGGUCUCUGGGCCGAUACUGACGCUGAGGCACGAAGGCCAGGGGAGCAAACGGG
This 253-nucleotide ribosomal RNA is filed under the name uncultured bacterium. RNAcentral describes it as "partial 16S ribosomal RNA". It matches the Rfam family "Bacterial small subunit ribosomal RNA", at positions 524 to 776 of the family's 1533-position model. The record is from RNAcentral.